This 460-nucleotide ribosomal RNA is filed under the name uncultured bacterium. RNAcentral describes it as "partial 16S ribosomal RNA". It matches the Rfam family "Bacterial small subunit ribosomal RNA", at positions 338 to 795 of the family's 1533-position model. The record is from RNAcentral.
CCUACGGGUGGCUGCAGUGAGGAAUAUUGGUCAAUGGUCGGGAGACUGAACCAGCCAAGCCGCGUGAGGGAUGAAGGUCCAGCGUAUCGUAAACCUCUUUUGUCAGGGAACAAACUCGGGGACGUGUCCCCGUAUGCGUGUACCUGAAGAAUAAGCAUCGGCUAACUCCGUGCCAGCAGCCGCGGUAAUACGGAGGAUGCGGGCGUUAUCCGGAUUUAUUGGGUUUAAAGGGUGCGCAGGCGGCCUUUUAAGUCAGCUGUCAAAUGCCGGGGCUCAACCCGGGCCCUGCGGUGGAAACUGGCAGGCUCGAGUGGGAGGGAGGUAGGCGGAAUGCGCGGUGUAGCGGUGAAAUGCAUAGAUAUCGCGCAGAACUCCGAUUGCGAAGGCAGCAUGCCGGAGCGAGACUGACGCUGAGGCACGAAAGCGUGGGUAUCGAACAGGAUUAGAUACCCUUGUAGUC